AGAGCUUGCUCUCUUGGCGGCGAGUGGCGGACGGGUGAGUAAUAUAUCGGAACGUGCCCAGUAGCGGGGGAUAACUACUCGAAAGAGUGGCUAAUACCGCAUACGCCCUACGGGGGAAAGGGGGGGAUCGCAAGACCUCUCACUAUUGGAGCGGCCGAUAUCGGAUUAGCUAGUUGGUGGGGUAAAGGCUCACCAAGGCAACGAUCCGUAGCUGGUUUGAGAGGACGACCAGCCACACUGGGACUGAGACACGGCCCAGACUCCUACGGGAGGCAGCAGUGGGGAAUUUUGGACAAUGGGGGAAACCCUGAUCCAGCCAUCCCGCGUGUAUGAUGAAGGCCUUCGGGUUGUAAAGUACUUUUGGCAGAGAAGAAAAGGUAUCCCCUAAUACGGGAUACUGCUGACGGUAUCUGCAGAAUAAGCACCGGCUAACUACGUGCCAGCAGCCGCGGUAAUACGUAGGGUGCAAGCGUUAAUCGGAAUUACUGGGCGUAAAGCGUGUGUAGGCGGUUCGGAAAGAAAGAUGUGAAAUCCCAGGGCUCAACCUUGGAACUGCAUUUUUAACUGCCGAGCUAGAGUAUGUCAGAGGGGGGUAGAAUUCCACGUGUAGCAGUGAAAUGCGUAGAUAUGUGGAGGAAUACCGAUGGCGAAGGCAGCCCCCUGGGAUAAUACUGACGCUCAGACACGAAAGCGUGGGGAGCAAACAGGAUUUAGAUACCCUGGUAGUCCACGCCCCAAACGAUGUCAACUAGCUGUUGGGGCCGUUAGGCCUUAGUAGCGCAGCUAACGCGUGAAGUUGACCGCCUGGGGAGUACGGUCGCAAGAUUAAAACUCAAAGGAAUUGACGGGGACCCGCACAAGCGGUGGAUGAUGUGGAUUAAUUCGAUGCAACGCGAAAAACCUUACCUACCCUUGACAUGUCUGGAAAGCCGAAGAGAUUUGGCCGUGCUCGCAAGAGAACCGGAACACAGGUGCUGCAUGGCUGUCGUCAGCUCGUGUCGUGAGAUGUUGGGUUAAGUCCCGCAACGAGCGCAACCCUUGUCAUUAGUUGCUACGCAAGAGCACUCUAAUGAGACUGCCGGUGACAAACCGGAGGAAGGUGGGGAUGACGUCAAGUCCUCAUGGCCCUUAUGGGUAGGGCUUCACACGUCAUACAAUGGUCGGGACAGAGGGUCGCCAACCCGCGAGGGGGAGCCAAUCUCAGAAACCCGAUCGUAGUCCGGAUCGCAGUCUGCAACUCGACUGCGUGAAGUCGGAAUCGCUAGUAAUCGCGGAUCAGAAUGUCGCGGUGAAUACGUUCCCGGGUCUUGUACACACCGCC
RNAcentral lists this ribosomal RNA (1321 nucleotides) under Alcaligenes faecalis. Its description in RNAcentral is "bacterial SSU rRNA". It matches the Rfam family "Bacterial small subunit ribosomal RNA", at positions 75 to 1394 of the family's 1533-position model. The record is from RNAcentral. Lineage: Bacteria; Pseudomonadati; Pseudomonadota; Betaproteobacteria; Burkholderiales; Alcaligenaceae.